GUCAGGAUAGCUGAGCAGUCUAAGGCUCUGUGUUCAGAUUGCAGUCUUCAUUAGAGGUGUGGGUUUGAAUCCCACUUCUGACA
This 83-nucleotide transfer RNA is filed under the name Scleropages formosus (Asian bonytongue). It matches the Rfam family "tRNA". From Rfam's summary of the family: Transfer RNA (tRNA) molecules are approximately 80 nucleotides in length. Their secondary structure includes four short double-helical elements and three loops (D, anti-codon, and T loops). The record is from Rfam by way of RNAcentral. Lineage: Eukaryota; Metazoa; Chordata; Actinopteri; Osteoglossiformes; Osteoglossidae.